UACGUAGGGGGCAAGCGUUGUCCGGAAUUAUUGGGCGUAAAGCGCGCGCAGGCGGCUGUUUAAGUCUGGUGUUUAAGCCCGGGGCUCAACCCCGGUUCGCACUGGAAACUGGACGGCUUGAGUGCAGGAGAGGGAAGUGGAAUUCCACGUGUAGCGGUGAAAUGCGUAGAGAUGUGGAGGAACACCAGUGGCGAAGGCGACUUCCUGGCCUGUAACUGACGCUGAGGCGCGAAAGCGUGGGGAGCAAACAGG
Molecule: ribosomal RNA, 252 nt
Filed under: Paenibacillus mesophilus
Lineage: Bacteria; Bacillati; Bacillota; Bacilli; Caryophanales; Paenibacillaceae
Also listed under: 1 other name
Description: partial 16S ribosomal RNA
Rfam family: Bacterial small subunit ribosomal RNA
Source: RNAcentral